This 58-nucleotide transfer RNA is filed under the name Neotoma lepida (desert woodrat). The record is from Rfam by way of RNAcentral. Lineage: Eukaryota; Metazoa; Chordata; Mammalia; Rodentia; Cricetidae.
UGGCUCAGUAGUUAAGAGCACUGACUGCUGUUCCAGAGAACCUGGGUUUGAUUCCCAG